CCUACGGGAGGCAGCAGUGAGGAAUAUUGGUCAAUGGGCGAGAGCCUGAACCAGCCAAGUCGCGUGAGGGAAGACGGUCCUAUGGAUUGUAAACCUCUUUUGUCGGGGAGCAAACCGGCCUCGUUAGGCCCCAAGUGAGAGUACCCGAAGAAAAAGCAUCGGCUAACUCCGUGCCAGCAGCCGCGGUAAUACGGGGGAUGCGAGCGUUAUUCGGAUUUAUUGGGUUUAAAGGGUGCGUAGGCGGACUGGAAAGUCAGCGGUAAAAUCGAGAGGCUCAACCUCUUUCCGCCGUUGAAACUGUCGGGCUUGAGUGGGCGAGAAGUAGGCGGAAUGCGUGGUGUAGCGGUGAAAUGCAUAGAUAUCACGCAGAACUCCGAUUGCGAAGGCAGCAUACCGGAGCCCGACUGACGCUGAGGCACGAAAGCGUGGGUAUCGAACAGGAUUAGAUACCCCUGUAGUC
RNAcentral lists this ribosomal RNA (460 nucleotides) under uncultured bacterium. RNAcentral describes it as "partial 16S ribosomal RNA". It matches the Rfam family "Bacterial small subunit ribosomal RNA", at positions 338 to 795 of the family's 1533-position model. The record is from RNAcentral.